This 438-nucleotide ribosomal RNA is filed under the name uncultured bacterium. Its description in RNAcentral is "partial 16S ribosomal RNA". It matches the Rfam family "Bacterial small subunit ribosomal RNA", at positions 339 to 795 of the family's 1533-position model. The record is from RNAcentral.
CUACGGGAGGCAGCAGUGGGGAAUAUUGCACAAUGGGGGGAACCCUGAUGCAGCAACGCCGCGUGGAGGAUGGCGCAUUUCGGUGUGUAAACUCCUUUUAUAUGUCAAGAAAAUGACGGUAGCAUAUGAAUAAGCACCGGCUAACUCCGUGCCAGCAGCCGCGGUAAUACGGGGGUGCAAGCGUUACUCGGAAUCACUGGGCGUAAAGGACGCGUAGGCGGGUUGGAAAGUCAGGUGUGAAAUCCUACAGCUUAACUGUAGAACUGCACUUGAAACUUCUAAUCUAGAGUAUGGGAGGGGGAGAUGGAAUUUGUGGUGUAGGGGUAAAAUCCGUAGAUAUCACUAGGAAUACCUAAAGCGAAGGCGAUCUCCUGGAACAUUACUGACGCUAAGGCGUGAAAGCGUGGGGAGCAAACAGGAUUAGAUACCCCCGUAGUC